RNAcentral lists this transfer RNA (72 nucleotides) under Bos taurus (domestic cattle). It matches the Rfam family "tRNA". Rfam says of the family: Transfer RNA (tRNA) molecules are approximately 80 nucleotides in length. Their secondary structure includes four short double-helical elements and three loops (D, anti-codon, and T loops). The record is from Rfam by way of RNAcentral. Lineage: Eukaryota; Metazoa; Chordata; Mammalia; Artiodactyla; Bovidae. RNAcentral also lists the same sequence under 1 other name.
UUCCUAGUAGUCCAGCGGUUAGGACUUGGCGUUUUCACUGCUGUGGCCUGGGUUCAGUCCCUAAUUAGGGAA